This 301-nucleotide ribosomal RNA is filed under the name uncultured bacterium. RNAcentral describes it as "partial 16S ribosomal RNA". It matches the Rfam family "Bacterial small subunit ribosomal RNA", at positions 509 to 807 of the family's 1533-position model. The record is from RNAcentral.
CAGUCGCCGCGGGAAUACGGAGGGCGCGAGCGCUACCCGGAUUUACUGGGCGUAAAGGGCGUGUAGGCGGCCUGGGGCGUCCCAUGUGAAAGGCCACGGCUCAACCGUGGAGGAGCGUGGGAUACGCUCAGGCUAGAGGGUGGGAGAGGGUGGUGGAAUUCCCGGAGUAGCGGCGAAAUGCGCAGAUACCGGGAGGAACGCCGAUGGCGAAGGCAGCCACCUGGUCCACUUCUGACGCUGAGGCGCGAAAGCGUGGGGAGCAAACCGGAUUAGAUACCCCAGUAGUCCCUGUCUCUUAUAC